RNAcentral lists this non-coding RNA (24 nucleotides) under Cricetulus griseus (Chinese hamster). The record is from RNAcentral. Lineage: Eukaryota; Metazoa; Chordata; Mammalia; Rodentia; Cricetidae.
GAGUGAGGGUAGGAUAGGGUAGGA